GAGUUUGAUCCUGGCUCAGAUUGAACGCUGGCGGCAUGCCUUACACAUGCAAGUCGAACGGCAGCAUGAUCUAGCUUGCUAGAUUGAUGGCGAGUGGCGAACGGGUGAGUAAUACAUCGGAACGUGCCCUGUAGUGGGGAUAACUAGUCGAAAGAUUAGCUAAUACCGCAUACGACCUGAGGGUGAAAGUGGGGGACCGCAAGGCCUCAUGCUAUAGGAGCGGCCGAUGUCUGAUUAGCUAGUUGGUGGGGUAAAGGCCCACCAAGGCGACGAUCAGUAGCUGGUCUGAGAGGACGAUCAGCCACACUGGGACUGAGACACGGCCCAGACUCCUACGGGAGGCAGCAGUGGGGAAUUUUGGACAAUGGGCGAAAGCCUGAUCCAGCAAUGCCGCGUGUGUGAAGAAGGCCUCGGUGUAAG
RNAcentral lists this ribosomal RNA (420 nucleotides) under uncultured microorganism. RNAcentral's name for it is "bacterial SSU rRNA". It matches the Rfam family "Bacterial small subunit ribosomal RNA", at positions 9 to 429 of the family's 1533-position model. The record is from RNAcentral.